GGCGCAGCCCUGAUCCAGCCAUGCCGCGUGAGUGAAGAAGGCCUUCGGGUUGUAAAGCUCUUUCGGCCGGGAAGAAAUCGCAUGGGUUAAUACCCUGUGCGGAUGACGGUACCGGCAUAAGAAGCACCGGCUAACUACGUGCCAGCAGCCGCGGUAAUACGUAGGGUGCGAGCGUUAAUCGGAAUUACUGGGCGUAAAGCGUGCGCAGGCGGUUUUGUAAGACAGGCGUGAAAUCCCCGGGCUCAACCUGGGAACUGCGCUUGUGACUGCAAGGCUAGAGUACGGCAGAGGGGGGUGGAAUUCCACGUGUAGCAGUGAAAUGCGUAGAGAUGUGGAGGAACACCAAUGGCGAAGGCAGCCCCCUGGGUCGAUACUGACGCUCAUGCACGAAAGCGUGGGUAGCAAACAGGAUUAGAUACCCUGGUAGUCCACGCCCUAAACGAUGUCAACUAGGUGUUGGGUGGGUAAAACCAUUUAGUAUCCAAGCUCACGCGUGAAGUUGACCCCGUGGGGAGUACAGCCGCAAGGUUAACUCUCAUGAG
This 542-nucleotide ribosomal RNA is filed under the name Dechloromonas sp. enrichment culture. Its description in RNAcentral is "bacterial SSU rRNA". It matches the Rfam family "Bacterial small subunit ribosomal RNA", at positions 374 to 907 of the family's 1533-position model. The record is from RNAcentral. Lineage: Bacteria; Pseudomonadati; Pseudomonadota; Betaproteobacteria; Rhodocyclales; Azonexaceae.